UACGAAGGGUGCAAGCGUUAAUCGGAAUUACUGGGCGUAAAGCGUGCGCAGGCGGUUUUGUAAGACUGUCGUGAAAUCCCCGGGCUCAACCUGGGAAUGGCGAUGGUGACUGCAAGGCUAGAGUUUGGCAGAGGGGGGUAGAAUUCCACGUGUAGCAGUGAAAUGCGUAGAUAUGUGGAGGAACACCGAUGGCGAAGGCAGCCCCCUGGGUCAAAACUGACGCUCAUGCACGAAAGCGUGGGGAGCAAACAGG
This 253-nucleotide ribosomal RNA is filed under the name uncultured bacterium. Its description in RNAcentral is "partial 16S ribosomal RNA". It matches the Rfam family "Bacterial small subunit ribosomal RNA", at positions 524 to 776 of the family's 1533-position model. The record is from RNAcentral.